This 301-nucleotide ribosomal RNA is filed under the name uncultured bacterium. Its description in RNAcentral is "partial 16S ribosomal RNA". It matches the Rfam family "Bacterial small subunit ribosomal RNA", at positions 509 to 807 of the family's 1533-position model. The record is from RNAcentral.
CAGCAGCCACGGGAAUACGUAGGGUGCGAGCGUUAAUCGGAAUUACUGGGCGUAAAGCGUGCGCAGGCGGUUCGUUAAGACAGAUGUGAAAUCCCCGGGCUUAACCUGGGAACUGCAUCUGUGACUGGCGAGCUAGAGUAUGGCAGAGGGGGGUAGAAUUCCACGUGUAGCAGUGAAAUGCGUAAAGAUGUGGAGGAAUACCGAUGGCGAAGGCAGCCCCCUGGGCCAAUACUGACGCUCAUGCACGAAAGCGUGGGGAGCAAACAGGAUUAGAUACCCGUGUAGUCCCUGUCUCUUAUAC